Molecule: long non-coding RNA, 690 nt
Organism: Neopelma chrysocephalum (saffron-crested tyrant-manakin)
Lineage: Eukaryota; Metazoa; Chordata; Aves; Passeriformes; Pipridae
Exons: 2
Source: RefSeq, a predicted model, not a curated record
AUCCACACUGGGGAGAGGCCCCACAAGUGUGGGGAGUGUGGGAAGAGCUUCACCCAGAGCUCUGCCUUGACCUCCCACCAAUGCACCCACCAGUAAUGGAAGCCCCGAGUGCCCCAACUGCGGGAAGAGCUUCGGCCGCUGCUCCAACUCCAUCAGCCAUCGGAGGAGCCGCGUUGGAUGAUCCACAGGGACCCACGUUGGGCACAGACCUGGUGACCCACAUUCCAGGUGAUCCAAGCUGGGCAGUGUAUUGGGGUCUUGGGGAUAACGUAUUUAAGGAGGAAAAAGUCCUUGUGCAGAUGGAAUUGGGUGCAGAGAAGAGCAGAGUGGGAAUAGGGGAGAGGAACAGCUCUGCAGACCCCCAGGGCAGUGCAGAAGGAGGGGCAGGAGGUGCUCCAGGCCUGGAGCUGAGAUUGCCCUGCAGCCCAAGGAGGAGCCCACGGCGGAGCAGGGGAUGCCCAAAAAGAAGGAUGUGAGCCCGUGGGAAGCCCGUGCUGGAGCAGAGUCCCUGCAGCUGCUGCGGCCCCAGAGAGCUCCAAGGGUCUCACUCAGCACUGCUGGUUAUGGGGCCACACAGAGGGGCUUUAGGCACAGGAAUUGUCCUUCCUGGCCCCAGUUCAGGUCUGUGACUUUCUCUGAAAGGUGGAGAACAAAAAUAGGAUUCCACUUGGGUUGUUCUUCAGGCUGUUC